UACAGAGGUCUCAAGCGUUGUUCGGAUUCAUUGGGCGUAAAGGGUGCGUAGGUGGCGCUGUAAGUCGGGUGUGAAAUUUCGGAGCUUAACUCCGAAACUGCAUUCGAUACUGCGGUGCUUGAGGACUGGAGAGGAGACUGGAAUUCAUGGUGUAGCAGUGAAAUGCGUAGAGAUCAUGAGGAAGACCAGUGGCGAAGGCGGGUCUCUGGACAGU
RNAcentral lists this ribosomal RNA (214 nucleotides) under uncultured bacterium. RNAcentral describes it as "partial 16S ribosomal RNA". It matches the Rfam family "Bacterial small subunit ribosomal RNA", at positions 524 to 737 of the family's 1533-position model. The record is from RNAcentral.